AUUGAACGCUAGCGGGAUGCUUUACACAUGCAGGUCGAACGGCAGCGCGGACUUCGGUCUGGCGGCGAGUGGCGAACGGGUGAGUAAUGUAUCGGAACGUGCCCAGUAGCGGGGGAUAACUACGCGAAAGCGUAGCUAAUACCGCAUACGCCCUACGGGGGAAAGCAGGGGAUCGUAAGACCUUGCACUAUUGGAGCGGCCGAUAUCGGAUUAGCUAGUUGGUGAGGUAACGGCUCACCAAGGCGACGAUCCGUAGCUGGUUUGAGAGGACGACCAGCCACACUGGGACUGAGACACGGCCCAGACUCCUACGGGAGGCAGCAGUGGGGAAUUUUGGACAAUGGGGGCAACCCUGAUCCAGCCAUCCCGCGUGUGCGAUGAAGGCCUUCGGGUCGUAAAGCACUUUUGGCAGGAAAGAAACGUCGCGGGCUAAUACCCCGUGGAACUGACGGUACCUGCAGAAUAAGCACCGGCUAACUACGUG
Molecule: ribosomal RNA, 484 nt
Filed under: uncultured bacterium
Lineage: Bacteria
Description: partial 16S ribosomal RNA
Rfam family: Bacterial small subunit ribosomal RNA
Source: RNAcentral